Rattus norvegicus (Norway rat) is the source of this 77-nucleotide small nucleolar RNA. Ensembl annotates it as small nucleolar RNA SNORD113/SNORD114 family. The record is from Ensembl. Lineage: Eukaryota; Metazoa; Chordata; Mammalia; Rodentia; Muridae.
UGGAUCAAUGAUGACUACAAAUUGUGGGUGUUGUGUGUCAUGAAUGAUGACUAAAAGUUUUUGAGUCUGGGGUCCAU